Molecule: long non-coding RNA, 2498 nt
Organism: Strigops habroptila (Kakapo)
Lineage: Eukaryota; Metazoa; Chordata; Aves; Psittaciformes; Psittacidae
Source: Ensembl
GCCUUUUCACAAAUGCUUUAUUUGUAGGACACUGAACAAGACACAAGGGGAUGAGGGGGACACGGAACACGGAGCUGACACACACACACACACACACACACACACAUUUUCCUUAUGGAAAGAGCAGCACGUGGAUAGAGGUCACCCCAGCAGGCUGGGAAAGCUUGGUCAAAACCAGCCAAGCAUCCAACAGGAAAGCUUGGAAUGAAAACCCCAGCACUAUCCCGCAGGAUUCGGAUGCUGUGUGGACACGGAUGCAUCAGGGCAGAUGAUAGAGCCAAGGGAGGCAGGUUUGGGCACAGAACUGGUGGGUUUGGGUUGGGAGCAGAGCACCAGGCUCAGAGAUGGGUGUUAGAAUGCACCAGGGCCAUGUUUUAUGGGGAAGAACAACCCAUCCACUACGGUUUUGACCUUACCUGGAGAUCUAGGUCUUAAGUUUUAAGCAGUGCUGAGCACCAGUUCCAACCAGUGAAGGGCUGAUGGCCAGAAACCUCCCCCCAGCUCCUUCCCAGGCCCUUCUGCACCCAAAAUACAAAGCAAUAGUGGAGGGGAGGAAGAAAAUCAGUGUUAAAGUCUCUCCUGCUGAUACCUCCCGGGUGCUCCUCCAUUCCUGAAGACCCUGUGGAAUGUGGGAACACACUGAUGAAGUUUUUGGAGCGCUGGGAUGGUCUCUCUGAACAAGAAGCCAGCCAGUGGCUUGGCCCUGUUGCAAUCGGGCAGUGGAGAGAGGGAAAGUGGGGAGGGUUGCUCUGAGCUACCCCAGUGUGGUGUUCACCAGGAUACUGGUGUUACCAACGAGAUCUAUCACAAAAUCACCUCUGAGAGCUUCCCAACCAUGAGCUUAGACCCUUGUGGUCAGGCGGGAGCAGUUUCACCAUCACCAGUGCAGAUUUGAGGGAGAUUUUCCUAUUUCUAUGACUUUCAGAAGUCAUUGAAUCACAGAAUGGGUUGUGUUGGAAAGGACCUUCAAGCUCCUCCAGUCCCAAUCCCUGCCACGGGCAGGGACACCUUCCACUAGAGCAGGUUGCUCCAAGCCCCUGUGUCCAACCUGGCCUUGAACACUGCCAGGGAUGGGGCAGCCACAGCUUCUCUGGGAAAAGUCUGUGCCAGCGCCUCAGCACCCUCACAGGGAAGAGCUUCUGCCUCAGAGCUCAUCUCAGUCUCCCCUCUGGCAGGUUAAAGCCAUUCCCCUUGGCCUGUCCCUCCAGGCCCUUGUCCAAAGCCCCUCUCCAGCUUUCCUGGAGCCCCUUUAGGCACUGGAGCUGCUCUAAGGUCUCCCCUUCAGGAGCCUUCUCUUCUCCAGGCUGCCCCAGCCCAGCUCUCUCAGCCUGGCUCCAGAGCAGAGCUGCUCCAGCCCUCGCAGCAGCUCCGGGGCCUCCUCUGGCCUCGCUCCAGCAGCUCCACGUCCCUCUUGUGCUGCUGCCCCAGAGCUGGAUCAGGACUGCAGGGGGGGCUCCCCAGAGCGCAGCAGAGGGGCAGGAUCCCCUCCCUGACCUGCUGUCACCUCAGCAAUCACAAAUGGGCAAUCAGGGCUGGAAUGGGCUUGCUGAGGCUGCCCAGUUCCUUCCCUUGCUAAAAGGGGGGUGGGGGGUGAAGAUUCCCUAUAGCUGCAUCAUGUCUGAAAACCCACUGUUGCAGUCAGAGGGAAGAAACCCAUCUGGACAGCCUGAGGAUCUCUGUAUUGCAACCACAGUCACAAGAAGCAUCCGUAUUUUUAACUGGCUUUGGUAUCAUCUCCCACCCACUUCACAUCUGGACCAGGGCAGGCUGAAGACAAAGACAAGGCUCAAAAGAGAAGUGAGCUCUGACAACAACAUGAUUCAGCAAGCAAACACCAAGAGGCUGUGUCUGCCUGAAUCCUUCACCCCAGUCACCACCAGUUCCCAAACACCAGCAUGGAGGAGCUGUGCUGGGUUAAAUGUGUGCAGAGACAGGCAGUGAGCUCAGGGUGAGCAGGAUCUGUAGUCAAAGCAAAACUAUGUGCUUUGGCAUACAGGAAAUAGCUCUUUCCAACAAUCCCAACGCUCCUGUGAUCUCCAAGGCACCGAUGGUUUGGUCUGGUGCACAUAAUCCAGGAACUGGGUUUGAUUUGAGCGAGCCCUGUGACUAACCAGCUCCCAAACUGCAUCUUCUGCUCCUGCCAAGCCUUGGGAUUUUCCAUUGUGAAAGUUUCCACUGAUCCUCAAUCCAACAACUGGAAUAAAUCAAGAGAGAUUGCACAGAACCAUCAAAUCCCAGCCUGGUUUGGGUUGAAGGGACCUUAAAGCUCAUCCAGUUCCAACCCCCUGCCACGGGCAGGGACACCUUCCAUUAGAGCAGGUUGCUCCAAGCUCAUUCCUAUCCCUACAGGCCCUUGUCCAAAGCUGGUAAUUUGGGGGGAUUUUGCCAUGUCCCCAUUAUUCAUGAGUCAAAGAGAACACUUCUUCUCUCUGCAUUUAAUUUCACCACAGUCUGUGCUAUCCUUCACCUAAACACCGCUUGUCUCCGCCUGUAGCUCC